UUACAGGAAUUGGCUCCAUGUGUUGAUGACUGACUGAGUACUGGCACACCUGAUGAAGGUGAAACAAUCGGCUGAUGGACCUCCCCCGACUUUAAACCACACUUCCAGUCAACAGCAUAGUUACAAGUCUGUGCGCAUCAAGGGAGAACCCCACUGCACACCUCUGACCAGAACAAAAACACCUCAAACCGGAUUAAGAGCCAUAGUUUUGGCACGUUGUCGAGCAGAGAUGACGAUAGCUAGACACCUGCCCGUUCAGCAGUCGUCAAGUAAACCAGUCGGUCAGUCUGUUUUCGGAAUACCAGUAACAAAUUAAACACGUACUGGCGAAGAAAGGGAUGGAGCAGUUAUUGUGGAGAGGGCGAAGUUAUGAGGGCCAACUUCCUGAUUACUUAGAAUUUCUUCUACACCUACCCUUGUUCCAGUCUGUAGCUGGGAAGGGGUGGGACCACAACGUCACAAUUUAAUGGAAUGCCAUCUUCAUUGAACACAUUAAAGUGGCACCAGUCUCCUUUUAACAAAAUAAAAAAAUAAAAAUUCACUUAAAUCCAAUGACAAGGUAAACAUCUUUGUUGAAUUUACGUUAGUUGACAUCAUUUUCUCAAAAAUGGUUUGUGUUGCAAAUGUAAAAAGCAUAUCAAACAUGCUUUCUACCAAUGAGGUUUCUAUGUGAGAAUUGCCAGAACAAUCUU
Long non-coding RNA from Oncorhynchus kisutch (coho salmon), 692 nucleotides. RefSeq lists it as uncharacterized. The record is from RefSeq and is a predicted model, not a curated record. The transcript is spliced from 3 exons. NCBI's taxonomy places the organism in Eukaryota, Metazoa, Chordata, Actinopteri, Salmoniformes, Salmonidae.